Molecule: ribosomal RNA, 253 nt
Filed under: uncultured bacterium
Lineage: Bacteria
Description: partial 16S ribosomal RNA
Rfam family: Bacterial small subunit ribosomal RNA
Source: RNAcentral
UACGUAGGUGGCGAGCGUUGUCCGGAUUUAUUGGGCGUAAAGCGCGCGCAGGCGGUUCGCUCCGUCCGGUGUGAAAUCUCCCGGCUCACCUGGGAGGGGGCGCUGGAGACUGGCGUACUGGAGGCAGGGAGAGGUCGGUGGAAUUCCCGGUGUAGUGGUGAAAUGCGUAGAGAUCGGGAGGAACACCAGUGGCGAAAGCGGCCGACUGGACCUGUCCUGACGCUGAGGCGCGAAAGCGUGGGGAGCGAACCGG